GGGGAAUAUUGGACAAUGGGGGGAACCCUGAUCCAGCCAUGCCGCGUGUGUGAAGAAGGCCUUAUGGUUGUAAAGCACUUUAAGCGAGGAGGAGGAGCUCUUGGUUAAUACCCAAGAUGCUUGGACGUUACUCGCAGAAUAAGCACCGGCUAACUCUGUGCCAGCAGCCGCGGUAAUACAGAGGGUGCGAGCGUUAAUCGGAUUUACUGGGCGUAAAGCGUACGUAGGCGGCUUUUUAAGUCGGAUGUGAAAUCCCUGAGCUUAACUUAGGAAUUGCAUUCGAUACUGGGGAGCUAGAGUAUGGGAGAGGAUGGUAGAAUUCCAGGUGUAGCGGUGAAAUGCGUAGAGAUCUGGAGGAAUACCGAUGGCGAAGGCAGCCAUCUGGCCUAAUACUGACGCUGAGGUACGAAAGCAUGGGGAGCAAAC
RNAcentral lists this ribosomal RNA (426 nucleotides) under uncultured bacterium. RNAcentral's name for it is "bacterial SSU rRNA". It matches the Rfam family "Bacterial small subunit ribosomal RNA", at positions 356 to 773 of the family's 1533-position model. The record is from RNAcentral.